UCCCAGACUCCUACGGGAGGCAGCAGUGGGGAAUAUUGCACAAUGGGGGAAACCCUGAUGCAGCGACGCCACGUGAGUGAAGAAGUAUUUCGGUAUGUAAAGCUCUCUCAGCAGGGAAGAAAAUGACGGUACCUGACUAAGAAGCCCCGGCUAACUACGUGCCAGCAGCCGCGGUAAUACGUAGGGGGCAAGCGUUAUCCGGAUUUACUGGGUGUAAAGGGAGCGUAGACGGCAGCGCAAGUCUGAAGUGAAAUGCCAGGGCUUAACCCUGGAACUGCUUUGGAAACUGUGCAGCUAGAGUGCAGGAGAGGUAAGUGGAAUUUCUAGUGUAGCGGUGAAAUGCGUAGAUAUUAGGAGGAACACCAGUGGCGAAGGCGGCUUACUGGACUGUAACUGACGUUGAGGCUCGAAAGCGUGGGGAGCAAACAGGAUUAGAUACCCCAGUA
RNAcentral lists this ribosomal RNA (446 nucleotides) under uncultured bacterium. Its description in RNAcentral is "bacterial SSU rRNA". It matches the Rfam family "Bacterial small subunit ribosomal RNA", at positions 329 to 792 of the family's 1533-position model. The record is from RNAcentral.